UGAGCAACCUACCGAAAUGUGGGGGAUAGCCGGCCUAACGGCCGAGUAAUACCGCAUACGCUCUCGAUGAGGCAUUUCAUUGAGAGGAAACCUACGGGACAUUUCGAGGGGCUCGCGGCCUAUCAGCUAGUUGGCGAGGUAACGGCUCACCAAGGCGACGACGGGUAGCUGGUCUGAGAGGAUGGCCAGCCACAUUGGGACUGAGACACGGCCCAGACUCCUACGGGAGCAG
This 232-nucleotide ribosomal RNA is filed under the name uncultured bacterium. RNAcentral's name for it is "partial 16S ribosomal RNA". It matches the Rfam family "Bacterial small subunit ribosomal RNA", at positions 118 to 347 of the family's 1533-position model. The record is from RNAcentral.